Molecule: long non-coding RNA, 386 nt
Organism: Haliotis rubra (blacklip abalone)
Lineage: Eukaryota; Metazoa; Mollusca; Gastropoda; Lepetellida; Haliotidae
Exons: 3
Source: RefSeq, a predicted model, not a curated record
CACAGAGUUACUUUACAUUUUCUGAGGUUUGCAUUCAUCAGAAACAUCCAAUAUGCAUGUUCUUAAAGUCGCAGUGCUCCUUGUAGCAGUUCUUGCUGCAGUGUUCGGAACAAGCAUGGCCAAGGGUCAUAGUGGUGGUCACGGUCAUGGAGGUGGGAUGGGUCAUGGUGGUGGCCAUGGGGGUAAAGGACAUGGAGGACAUGGUGGCGGACACGGGGGCAAGGGACACGGAGGCCAUGGCGGUGGACAUGGGGGCAAAGGGCAUGGAGGCGGCCAUGGAGGAAAGGGGCACCAUGGAUAAACCAUGUAGAUGAAAGGCGUGUGACAAUGCAGCUUCUACAUGUCAUUCCACUGCUGCUGGACAACGGGGAAACAACUCAGAGAAA